CUCUGUUUCCCAACCUCUCUCUCUCUCACUAGGGUUUUCAAAACCCCCUUUCACCUAAACCCACCAUUGAUCCAUGAGAGAGACUUGGAGAGCACUCGAAAGAAGGAGAAGAAGAAAAAGAAGAAAAAGGAGAAGAAUGAGGGGAAAUCCAGACAUCGGAUGCUUAAGUUAUGAAAUCUGGAGAUAAUAUGAGGUGACGCAAAUAAUGGACGGGUUGGAUGGCCUUCAUACAUCACAUGGCCCCAACUCUGUUUUGAGUGCAAUGAAUCAAGAAUACAUUGUAAGUGAGUUCAGAACUGUGGUAGAUACUUUCAAUCAACUGGUACCUGAAAUACAGAUUGCAACAGAUAUAAUUUGCGGAUUCCCUGGUAUGUUACCACAUAGAUGUAG
This is a long non-coding RNA of Magnolia sinica, 390 nucleotides long. RefSeq lists it as uncharacterized. The transcript has 3 exons. Lineage: Eukaryota; Viridiplantae; Streptophyta; Magnoliopsida; Magnoliales; Magnoliaceae. The record is from RefSeq and is a predicted model, not a curated record.